RNAcentral lists this ribosomal RNA (253 nucleotides) under uncultured bacterium. Its description in RNAcentral is "partial 16S ribosomal RNA". It matches the Rfam family "Bacterial small subunit ribosomal RNA", at positions 524 to 776 of the family's 1533-position model. The record is from RNAcentral.
UACGGGGGGGGUAAGCGUUGUUCGGAAUUACUGGGCGUAAAGGGCUCGUAGGCGGCCAACUAAGUCGGACGUGAAAUCCCUCAGCUUAACUGGGGAACUGCGUCCGAUACUGGAUGGCUUGGAUUUGGGAGAGGGAUGCGGAAUUCCAGGUGUAGCGGUGAAAUGCGUAGAUAUCUGGAGGAACACCUGUGGCGAAGGCGGCCUUCUGGACGGUGACUGACGCUGAGACGCGAAAGCGUGGGGAGCAAACAGG